UACGUAGGGUGCAAGCAUUAAUCGGAAUUAUUGGGCGUAAAGGGCGCGUAGGCGGAUAAAUAAGUCAGAUGUGAAAUACCAAAGCUCAACUUUGGUGCUGCAUUUGAAACUGUUUGUCUAGAGGAUUGACGGAGAAAGGGGAAUUCCACGUGUAGCGGUGAAAUGCGUAGAUACGUGGAGGAACACCGGUGGCGAAAGCGCCUUUCUAGUUUAGACCUGACGCUGAGGCGCGAGAGCAA
RNAcentral lists this ribosomal RNA (239 nucleotides) under uncultured bacterium. RNAcentral's name for it is "partial 16S ribosomal RNA". It matches the Rfam family "Bacterial small subunit ribosomal RNA", at positions 524 to 762 of the family's 1533-position model. The record is from RNAcentral.